Molecule: ribosomal RNA, 226 nt
Filed under: Echinococcus granulosus
Lineage: Eukaryota; Metazoa; Platyhelminthes; Cestoda; Cyclophyllidea; Taeniidae
Description: partial 12S ribosomal RNA
Source: RNAcentral
ACAGUUACUAUGUUACCACAAAACUCCCAUAAGCAGCACAUAGACUUAGCUUAACUAAAACUACACAAACUUAAAUUAUUCAACAAUAAUAUCAAACCAGACAUACACCAACAUAAAAAGAGUAAACUAAUAGGUGGACCAUCCUUCACUAUGCAUAUUCCCCUAAUAAGAAUCGCUCACUGCCAAACCAUUUUAGUUACAAAACUAGAACAACUUUACAAAAUAC